This 98-nucleotide unclassified non-coding RNA is filed under the name Saccharomyces paradoxus. RNAcentral's name for it is "partial 35S ribosomal cistron external transcribed spacer". The record is from RNAcentral. Lineage: Eukaryota; Fungi; Ascomycota; Saccharomycetes; Saccharomycetales; Saccharomycetaceae.
AUGCGAAAGCAGUUGAAGACGAGUUCGAAAAGAGUUUGGAAACGAAUUCGAGUAGGCUUGUCGUUCGUUAUGUUUUUGUAAAUGGCCUCGUCAAACGG